CUCUUUUUCUUUUGAAGACCCAUUCACACCAUAUGGGUUUAACCUCUUCGGAUGGAUCAACAAGUAUCCAUACACUAUUAAUCUCCAUGGGAUUUCAUUUCGGAUUUCAUGAUAUUUAGCCAUUUCUUAGAGUCAAACUUUUACAUGGCAUCCAUAUAGAUAAUCAGAUUUUCAUCAUUCUCAUCUAGUUCGAUAGGAUCGAUCAAGAAAUCAUAGUAUCUAUCCAGUUGA
RNAcentral lists this long non-coding RNA (231 nucleotides) under Elaeis guineensis (African oil palm). RNAcentral's name for it is "long non-coding RNA (EGUI_LNC009003)". Lineage: Eukaryota; Viridiplantae; Streptophyta; Magnoliopsida; Arecales; Arecaceae. The record is from RNAcentral.